GCCGCCAUGGUGAAAUUGGUAGACACGCUGCUCUUAGGAAGCAGUGCUUAAGCUUCUCGGUUCGAAUCCGAGUGGCGG
This 78-nucleotide transfer RNA is filed under the name Haplomitrium blumei. RNAcentral describes it as "tRNA-Leu". It matches the Rfam family "tRNA". Rfam says of the family: Transfer RNA (tRNA) molecules are approximately 80 nucleotides in length. Their secondary structure includes four short double-helical elements and three loops (D, anti-codon, and T loops). The record is from RNAcentral. Lineage: Eukaryota; Viridiplantae; Streptophyta; Haplomitriopsida; Calobryales; Haplomitriaceae.